Paramisgurnus dabryanus is the source of this 1130-nucleotide non-coding RNA. The record is from RefSeq and is a predicted model, not a curated record. NCBI's taxonomy places the organism in Eukaryota, Metazoa, Chordata, Actinopteri, Cypriniformes, Cobitidae.
UAACCCUUCUUCUGGUCUUUAAUGGAAUUUACACCUCAACUUCUCAAAGCUCCUCAACUACUCAAAGCUCCUCAACUGCCCAAAGCACCACAACUGCUCUAAGCACCACAACUGCUAUAAGCACCACAACUGCUCCAAGGACAAUUUUAACAUCACUAGGAAGAUCCACGCUCUCAGUUACAACCACUACAACCACCACAACAGCAUCUGCACCAAAAGCACCUACUGGUUCAACCAUACAGGCAACACAGGGAGGAACCACACUGAUGGCUACAGGGUCAACAAUGGCUACAACGUCAUCAACCUCCAUCAUCACCGGGUCAACCAUACAGUCAAUACUCGGUGUUUUUAUCUGGAUGAUGUGGCUCCUUCAGUAAAGCACUUAGGAGAAAGUGGAGGAAAAGCAGCACACAGCAAUCAAUUUAAGAGUAAUUUUGCUGCCUUAAAUAUUAAGUUUAGAGUUAUUAUCGUUGAUCUUUAAAGUUCGGCUAUGUUAUCUAUUUAUGCUUGAUAUUUCUCAAUAUUUGUUCUUGUCACAUUUGUGAAGUAUUAGGAAUAUAUUAGCAAAUAAAAUAAUUUUCUCCAAAUAUGUUUUGACACAGAUUCAUUACAUAUAAAACAUUCCGAAAGUAAUAUAUUCAAACGAAAUCUAUAAAAAAUUUCAGAACUAUUAAAAGAAAUUGAUAGAAUGUUUCAGUGUUCAUCCAAACACCAUAAGAAAUGUAUCACCACAAUAAUUGUAUAUCCGUAUAUGAGAAACUUAGAGCAAGCAUUAUACAACAUCUUUGCUUAAAUGACACCAUAAGUUCUACAUUUCUUUCAAAUAUGUCAACUAUUUUAAAUCUGUGGUUUCAAUAAACCAUAAAUGUCACAUUUUUUCUUAGCUUUAUUGAGAAUUAUAAAGAAUAUUUUAAUUAAUCAAGUUUCAAACACAUAAAGACUAAUCUCUUAAGAUGCCUUUUUUGUGUAUGUUGUACUAUUUGUACUACUACUGAUUGUUAUUAACCACAUUCAUGUAUAUGUUUGUAUAAACCUAUUUUUCCUACCCAUUACAGUUUUUCUGAAUUGCUAAAACACAUUUUUUGAAACCAUUACUCAUUUUCUCAAAACCUUAAACACAAAUCCCAAUU